AAGUAUAAGCAAUNAUACCGCGAAACUGCGAAUGGCUCAUUAAAUCAGUUAUCGUUUAUUUGAUAGUACCUUACUACUUGGAUAACCGUGGUAAUUCUAGAGCUAAUACAUGCUGAAAACCCCGACUUCGGAAGGGAUGUAUUUAUUAGAUUAAAAACCAAUGCCCUUCGGGGCUCCCUGGUGAUUCAUAAUAACUUCUCGAAUCGCACGGCCUUGCGCCGGCGAUGGUUCAUUCAAAUUUCUGCCCUAUCAACUUUCGACGGCUGGGUCUUGGCCAGCCAUGGUGACAACGGGUAACGGAGGGUUAGGGCUCGACCCCGGAGAAGGAGCCUGAGAAACGGCUACUACAUCCAAGGAAGGCAGCAGGCGCGCAAAUUACCCAAUCCCGACACGGGGAGGUAGUGACAAUAAAUACUGAUACAGGGCUCUUUUGGGUCUUGUAAUUGGAAUGAGUACAAUUUAAUUCCCUUAACGAGGAACAAUUGGAGGGCAAGUCUGGUGCCAGCAGCCGCGGUAAUUCCAGCUCCAAUAGCGUAUAUUAAAGUUGUUGCAGUUAAAAAGCUCGUAGUUGAACCUUGGGCCUGGCUGGCCGGUCCGCCUCACCGCGUGCACUGGUCCGGCCGGGUCUUUCCCUCUGGGGAGCCGCAUGCCCUUCACUGGGUGUGUCGGGGAACCAGGACUUUUACUUUGAAAAAAUUAGAGUGUUCAAAGCAGGCUUAUGCUCGGAUACAUUAGCAUGGAAUAAUAGAAUAGGACGUGCGGUUCUAUUUUGUUGGUUUCUAGGACCGCCGUAAUGAUUAAUAGGGACAGUCGGGGGCAUCAGUAUUCAAUUGUCAGAGGUGAAAUUCUUGGAUUUAUUGAAGACUAACUACUGCGAAAGCAUUUGCCAAGGAUGUUUUCAUUAAUCAGGAACGAAAGUUAGGGGAUCGAAGACGAUCAGAUACCGUCGUAGUCUUAACCAUAAACUAUGCCGACUAGGGAUCGGACGAUGUUAUUUUUUGACUCGUUCGGCACCUUACACGAAAGUACA
Molecule: ribosomal RNA, 1030 nt
Filed under: Sporothrix stenoceras
Lineage: Eukaryota; Fungi; Ascomycota; Sordariomycetes; Ophiostomatales; Ophiostomataceae
Description: SSU rRNA
Rfam family: Eukaryotic small subunit ribosomal RNA
Source: RNAcentral